Molecule: ribosomal RNA, 253 nt
Filed under: uncultured bacterium
Lineage: Bacteria
Description: partial 16S ribosomal RNA
Rfam family: Bacterial small subunit ribosomal RNA
Source: RNAcentral
UACGGGGGGGGCAAGCGUUGUUCGGAAUUACUGGGCGUGAAGGGCUCGUAGGCGGCCAACUAAGUCAGACGUGAAAUCCCUCGGCUUAACCGGGGAACUGCAUCUGAUACUGGAUGGCUUGAGUUCGGGAGAGGGAUGCGGAAUUCCAGGUGUAGCGGUGAAAUGCGUAGAUAUCUGGAGGAACACCGGUGGCGAAGGCAGGUCUCUGGGCUAGAACUGACGCUCAUGCACGAAAGCGUGGGGAGCGAACAGG